Molecule: long non-coding RNA, 861 nt
Organism: Actinia tenebrosa (Australian red waratah sea anemone)
Lineage: Eukaryota; Metazoa; Cnidaria; Anthozoa; Actiniaria; Actiniidae
Source: RefSeq, a predicted model, not a curated record
AACAUCCACAGAAGAAAAAGUAGAACGGUUACUAAAGAAUAAGUUGGAUUUGGACGUCAAUGAAAAUCAAUCGAUAUCUACGGUGGUACCCAGGACCCCUCCAUCGGCUUCAGCUGUUGUAGAGACUGAGCCGAGGUUGUCUUCAGCUCCUGUCAGAGCUCUCAGGCGUUACAGAGUUUUACCAGACCCACCAAGUACUCAGAGAACGUCUGAAGAUUCGCCUCAACCGUCCAGCCAAUCACCUGUCACUCAGGUAUCCCAUGGUUACAGGCCUGGUACAGCUGCCGCUGCUCUACAGAAGCGAAGGCUCAAACCAAACUAGUAAUAGGUUUGAUUGGUAGGUUAGCAAACAGUAUCCCCAGGAGGGAGGGGUCAGGUACUUUUAAUACAAACAAGAUUGUCCGGUGUAUAAAAAACCGGUGUGAAAUGUGCAGUACUGUGCAGUGCCCAUUCUUUCCAAUACACUGUGCUUUCACAUAGUAGUUAUGUUAUUGGACAACAAGCCUAGCAAAUUUAACGAGUCAUAUACCCGGCUACCGGGGAAAGAAGGGGCAUAAAAUCCCGUUGUGUGUCCGGGAUUUGUAAGUUUCAUUAAUAUAACUAUAACGAGCGUUUAUUUCUAAAUCAGGUACUACCUUACGGGAUAUAAAGUCGGGUCGUGAAAAACCCGGUGUUUGCUCGGUGCUUCCAAUAUUAUCAACUUGGGGCAACGUCAUGCAAAAUGCCCCUACUUUGCACGAGGGGGAAGGGGAGGGGUUCAUUUUGUGUUGGACACGAUAUAAGAUAUUCUUAAUGUUUGAUAAAACUAACUUGUGAAAAUGUGUUAUUGUUAAGAAUCAUUAAACCCAACGACAAGCUCUC